ACUAAAAUUUAGUCAGUUUCAUUGGUUACCAUUUAGACUCAAUCAUACAUGGGAUAUUGUAUCUGUUAACUAUACGCGGUACAACACAAUGUCAUUUGGAACUUGAUGUCAUAUACUGUCUCUUCAAGAAAUUUAUUAAAAGCAAUGUUUUUUACAAGCCUAUGCAUCGGCAUCAUGAGUUCCGUAACAUUGCUAUCGUCCAUUAUAGAAAAAAGAUUAAUUCCCCAUUGAAUCGAUAUGAGGAAAUAAGGAAUUACAAAGUUUCAACACAACGAAUUAACUCCUAUCUUUGGUGCUUCAACCAUUCGUUGAUUGGCGUCUUCAGAACUCUUUCAGAUCUUUGAAAGAAGUCAAGAAAUCUUGAUGAUUAGUUAUGUGUCUUACCCUCUUACAUUAUGUCCUCAUAUGGCGUAAAUGUAAUAAAUUUCAUAACCUUUUUCAUUCAUCUUAACCAUAUGUUUUAAGUAACCAGCAUCACAACUCAAUAACACAACAAUAGCUAGAAAUGACAUCAUCAUUUUCUAAGCGUAAAGAUCUUUCAAUAUGUUCUCAUCGGCUGUUUGGGAACACUUAUUCUCAACAUUUAACUUAAUGAUGUACGAGUAUAAACUCAACCCUAGAUGGUGUCGAUUAAAUUUUUAUUGUA
Molecule: small RNA, 646 nt
Filed under: Arabidopsis thaliana (thale cress)
Lineage: Eukaryota; Viridiplantae; Streptophyta; Magnoliopsida; Brassicales; Brassicaceae
Description: ATSL289490
Source: RNAcentral